CACACCUCUCUCAGUUCUUGCAGGAGGGAAAGAAUAGGAAGGAGUGUGCACGCAUAUAAACGGUGUCGCAAUCUCAAGCAUAGGCUAUUUUAAAGGAAAAGGCUACUUUCUCUCAACAAUCAAGAUUAGGAAUCAAUUAUUUAUGCGACUGAGAUUGGUCCCGUUGCUCUAGGAUUAAGUUUUUGUUGCAUCUAAAGGUGGAUCAUUAGCCUAAUUAAUAUCCAACAUAGGAAGCGAUAUUUUAAAGCGUAUGAUGAUAUUUUCGGACGCCUAAAGCCACCGCUUGAACUCUCAAUAAACAUCUAAUCGAGGUGUGUGGUGUGUUGGCAUGCCUCGUGGGGAAUUCUGGGUAGAGUGCUAGCUUCCUAAAGAUUGGCCGACAGGAGGAAAAGAGAACAGAGGAGGAUAGGAGGAGAGGAGUGCUAACAUGGCUCUGCCCGACAAACACAAAGUGAAACGCCAACGACUAGACAGAAUCUGUGAAGGACAAUGACCCAACACACCUCCAGGCUGUGUAAGGGCU
This is a long non-coding RNA of Salvelinus sp. IW2-2015, 523 nucleotides long. RefSeq lists it as uncharacterized. Lineage: Eukaryota; Metazoa; Chordata; Actinopteri; Salmoniformes; Salmonidae. The record is from RefSeq and is a predicted model, not a curated record.